UUUGCUUACUGCAAAGGCAAUGUCAGGGCGAGUAAAGGAUAGAUAAUGAAGAUUUCCAAUGACUCGACGAUAAAGAGUGCCAUCCACUUUGGAAUCCUCACGAGAUGUUUCAAAGGUACAUUGUAGAAGUCAUGGGCGUGGGAGCGCCUUCGCAUUCAACUAUGUUAACAUCUACCCUGAAAAUGAUUGUGGGACUGACUGCGACAAACUCGGGCAGAGUGGCUAUGACAAUCACAUACCAAAGUGCUUACGAGGCUUUCACGUUAACCUCAAUUGGGUCGAGUGUCGUUGGCGUUGUUGUAAAGCCUGUUGUUGGUAU
RNAcentral lists this long non-coding RNA (319 nucleotides) under Nicotiana benthamiana. Its description in RNAcentral is "long non-coding RNA (NBEN_LNC001850)". Lineage: Eukaryota; Viridiplantae; Streptophyta; Magnoliopsida; Solanales; Solanaceae. The record is from RNAcentral.